UACAGAGGCCUCGAGCGUUAGGCGGAAUCACUGGGCUUAAAGCGUGUGUAGGUGGAUGCCUAAGUCCCUUGUGAAAUCCCACGGCUUAACCGUGGAACUGUUGGGUAUACUGGGCGUCUUGAGCCACUCAGGGGCUACCGGAACAAGCGGUGGAGCGGUGAAAUGCGUAGAUAUCGUAAGGAAGACCAGUGGCGAAGGCGGGUCUCUGGACAGUUCCUGACGCUGAGGCACGAAGGCCAGGGGAGCAAACGGG
Molecule: ribosomal RNA, 253 nt
Filed under: uncultured bacterium
Lineage: Bacteria
Description: partial 16S ribosomal RNA
Rfam family: Bacterial small subunit ribosomal RNA
Source: RNAcentral